RNAcentral lists this ribosomal RNA (389 nucleotides) under uncultured bacterium. RNAcentral describes it as "bacterial SSU rRNA". It matches the Rfam family "Bacterial small subunit ribosomal RNA", at positions 335 to 710 of the family's 1533-position model. The record is from RNAcentral.
ACUCCUACGGGAGGCAGCAGUGGGGAAUAUUGCACAAUGGGGGAAAACCCUGAUGCAGCCAUGCCGCGUGUGUGAAGAAGGCCUUGGGUUGUAAAGCACUUUCAGUAGGGAGGAAGGUAGUGUAGUUAAUACCUGCAUUAUUUGUACGUUACCUACAGAAGAAGCACCGGCUAACUCCGUGCCAGCAGCCGCGGUAAGUACGGAGGGUGCGAGCGUUAAUCGGAAUUACGUGGGCGUAAAGCGCAUGCAGGCGGCCUGUUAAGUCAGAUGUGAAAGCCCGGGGCUUAACCUCGGAAUUGCAUUUGAAAACUGGCAGGCUAGAGUCUUGGUAGAGGGGGUUAGAAUUUCGAGGUGUAGCGUGGAAAUGCGUAGAGAUGUGAAGGAAUACC